Long non-coding RNA from Myotis myotis, 340 nucleotides. RefSeq lists it as uncharacterized. The transcript is spliced from 2 exons. Lineage: Eukaryota; Metazoa; Chordata; Mammalia; Chiroptera; Vespertilionidae. The record is from RefSeq and is a predicted model, not a curated record.
UUUUAUUGAAGGACAGAAGUUUUGAAGGAUAGAAGUCUGAGAUCAAGAUGUUGGCAGAAUUGGUUCCUUCUGAGGGCCUCUCUCCUUAUCUUGUAGAUGGGCAUCUUCUCCAUGUCUUCGCUUGGACCACCCUCCAUGUAAUCUCUUCCAGCCCUGGGCCCACCUUCUGCUUGGCACAGCAGCUGGAGCUGGCCUCAGUUGCCCCCUCAUGGCUCCACUAUGCCCUUCAGGUCACCAGUCCUUCACAAUGACUUCAUUUUUUUAUGCUAUCUACCUGUCCAGGUGGGCCUACAAUUUGUGAACUCUGCAACAUACAAAAAUAAAUCCUUGUUUCCUUUUG